CUUGUAGCUCAACUGGAUAGAGCGACAGACUUCGGAUCUGUAGGCUGAGGGUUCGAGCCCUUCCAGG
RNAcentral lists this transfer RNA (67 nucleotides) under bovine gut metagenome. It matches the Rfam family "tRNA". Rfam says of the family: Transfer RNA (tRNA) molecules are approximately 80 nucleotides in length. The record is from RNAcentral.